GGAAGCGUGGCCGAGUGGUUGAAGGCUCUCGUCUUGAAAACGAGCAUGCGAGAGAUCGCAUCGUGGGUUCGAAUCCCACCGCUUCCGCCA
This 90-nucleotide transfer RNA is filed under the name Sphingomonas sanxanigenens. RNAcentral describes it as "tRNA-Ser". It matches the Rfam family "tRNA". From Rfam's summary of the family: Transfer RNA (tRNA) molecules are approximately 80 nucleotides in length. The record is from RNAcentral. Lineage: Bacteria; Pseudomonadati; Pseudomonadota; Alphaproteobacteria; Sphingomonadales; Sphingomonadaceae. RNAcentral also lists the same sequence under 1 other name.